GAUGAAGAACGUAGCGAAAUGCGAUAAGUAAUGUGAAUUGCAGAAUUUAGUGAAUCAUCGAAUCUUUGAACGCACAUUGCGCCCUCUGGCAUUCCGGAGGGCACACCUGUUCGAGCGCCGUUUCAAACCUAAGGCUCUGCCUUGCGAUGGCGCGGUCCGGCGCGAGCCGGAGCGCCGAAACCCAGCGACGCGGUCGGCGGCUAGCACAGAGCACAAUCUGCGGCGAAGUCGAGCGGCGGCAGUCGAAGCUACGAAAAAUUUGGCCUCGGAUCAGGUGGGGAUACCCGCUGAACUUAAGCAUAUCAAUAAGCGGAGGA
This 317-nucleotide unclassified non-coding RNA is filed under the name soil metagenome. RNAcentral's name for it is "partial contains 5.8S ribosomal RNA, internal transcribed spacer 2, and large subunit ribosomal RNA". The stretch from base 1 to 120 matches the Rfam family "5.8S ribosomal RNA", at positions 35 to 154 of the family's 154-position model. The record is from RNAcentral.